UACGGAGGGGGCGAGCGUUAUUCGGAAUUAUUGGGCGUAAAGGGCGCGUAGGCGGCCCCUUAAGUCAAAGGUGAAAUCCCUCGGCUCAACUGAGGAACUGCCUUUGAAACUGAUGGGCUUGAGGCCGGGAGGGGGUAGCGGAAUUCCCAGUGUAGCGGUGAAAUGCGUAGAUAUCGUAAGGAAGACCAGUGGCGAAGGCGGGUCUCUGGACAGUUCCUGACGCUGAGGAGCGAAAGCGUGGGGAGCGAACAGG
This 253-nucleotide ribosomal RNA is filed under the name uncultured bacterium. Its description in RNAcentral is "partial 16S ribosomal RNA". It matches the Rfam family "Bacterial small subunit ribosomal RNA", at positions 524 to 776 of the family's 1533-position model. The record is from RNAcentral.